RNAcentral lists this non-coding RNA (684 nucleotides) under Pan troglodytes (chimpanzee). RNAcentral also lists the same sequence under 1 other name. The record is from RNAcentral. Lineage: Eukaryota; Metazoa; Chordata; Mammalia; Primates; Hominidae.
UAAAAUAAUAGAAUUUUUUAAUAAAUUUUUUUUCCCAAACAACUUCUUUUGAUCUUCACCACGCAGGGGCCACAGUGGAGAGGAAAGUUCUCUCCAGGUGCCCUAAAAAGUGUCCAGGGUAGACUUAGGAGAAAAGUAUUCCUCCAGUGUCAGGAGGUUGAGGGGACUAGGGUAAGCAGGGGUCAGGGUCAGCCUGGCCCUGACUGAGGCAUCCCCCAAAGGGUCCUGGGUGGGGCUCCCUGGGGGAGCUUCCAAAGGCUCUGCUGGUGGAAGACGCUCUGCAGACAAAAGCCCCUCUGGUGUCCGCUGUGGGCCCUUAGGAGUGCGGGUCAGCGGCUGCCUGGGGGGCCCCACCCCAGCCUUGGGAUGGGGAAGAGUUAAUGGCCAGAACUGGGGAGGGCAGGGCUGAGCCACCACACACGCCCUCUUGGGGCUGCCACAAGUCAGGACAGCCCAGGGGGCAGGCAAGGAGAGGCGGCCUGCUCCCCGGGGAGGAGAGGAGCUGGGAGGGGAAAGGGAGGCAGCAAGGCCAGGGAAGGUGGUUGGAGGAGCUGUUGCCGCGGGCGCGGCUGCCCGGCCGCGUGGGUGCCGCGGGCGGACACGCCUGGAAGUCGGCCUCGCGGAGCGCGCGCAGGUCUCGGCCCUGGCGCUCCGGGGGGGUGGCGCAGGUCACGUCGGAGCUGG